UUUUUUUUUAAUCAGUAAUUAAGAAUCCUAUUGUUAAAUGGAUUCUAUUAAUUAGAUAAGUUUUAAUUAAGAAUUCUUUUUUAUAAAGAACAUUAGUU
Molecule: long non-coding RNA, 98 nt
Organism: Populus euphratica (Euphrates poplar)
Lineage: Eukaryota; Viridiplantae; Streptophyta; Magnoliopsida; Malpighiales; Salicaceae
Exons: 3
Source: RefSeq, a predicted model, not a curated record